RNAcentral lists this ribosomal RNA (375 nucleotides) under uncultured bacterium. RNAcentral's name for it is "bacterial SSU rRNA". It matches the Rfam family "Bacterial small subunit ribosomal RNA", at positions 509 to 881 of the family's 1533-position model. The record is from RNAcentral.
CAGCAGCCGCGGUAAUACGUAGGGUGCAAGCGUUGUCCGGAAUUACUGGGCGUAAAGAGUUCGUAGGCGGUUUGUCGCGUCGUUUGUGAAAACCAGCAGCUCAACUGCUGGCUUGCAGGCGAUACGGGCAGACUUGAGUACUGCAGGGGAGACUGGAAUUCCUGGUGUAGCGGUGAAAUGCGCAGAUAUCAGGAGGAACACCGGUGGCGAAGGCGGGUCUCUGGGCGUAAACUGACGCUGAGGAACGAAAGCGUGGGGAGCAAACAGGAUUAGAUACCCUGGUAGUCCACGCCCUANACGAUGCGAAACUGGAUGUUGGGUGCNAUUUGGCACGCAGUAUCGAAGCUAACGCGUUANGUUCGCCGCCUGGGGAGU